UACGUAGGGUGCAAGCGUUGUCCGGAAUUAUUGGGCGUAAAGAGCUCGUAGGCGGUUCGUCGCGUCGGCUGUGAAAUCCCGAGGCUCAACCUCGGGUCUGCAGUCGAUACGGGCGGACUGGAGUUCGGCAGGGGAGACUGGAAUUCCUGGUGUAGCGGUGAAAUGCGCAGAUAUCAGGAGGAACACCGGUGGCGAAGGCGGCUCUCUGGGACGGUACUGACGCUGAGACGCGAAAGCGUGGGGAUCAAACAGG
Molecule: ribosomal RNA, 253 nt
Filed under: uncultured bacterium
Lineage: Bacteria
Description: partial 16S ribosomal RNA
Rfam family: Bacterial small subunit ribosomal RNA
Source: RNAcentral